RNAcentral lists this ribosomal RNA (495 nucleotides) under uncultured bacterium. RNAcentral describes it as "partial 16S ribosomal RNA". It matches the Rfam family "Bacterial small subunit ribosomal RNA", at positions 28 to 507 of the family's 1533-position model. The record is from RNAcentral.
GAUGAACGCUGGCGGCGUGCCUAAUACAUGCAAGUAGAACGCUGAAGGAGGAGCUUGCUCUUCUGGAUGAGUUGCGAACGGGUGAGUAACGCGUAGGUAACCUGCCUGGUAGCGGGGGAUAACUAUUGGAAACGAUAGCUAAUACCGCAUGACAACAGUUAUUGCAUGAUAACUGUUUAAAAGAGCCAACUGCUCCACUACCAGAUGGACCUGCGUUGUAUUAGCUAGUUGGUGAGGUAACGGCUCACCAAGGCGACGAUACAUAGCCGAACUGAGAGGGUGAUCGGCCACACUGGGACUGGGACAAGGCCCAGCAUCCUACGGGAGGCAGCAGUAGGGAAUCUUCGGCAAUGGACGGAAGUCUGACCGAGCAACGCCGCGUGAGUGAAGAAGGUUUUCGGAUCGUAAAGCUCUGUUGUAAGAGAAGAACGAGUGUGAGAGUGGAAAGUUCACACUGUGACGGUAUCUUACCAGAAAGGGACGGCUAACUACGUG